Molecule: ribosomal RNA, 295 nt
Filed under: Salmonella enterica subsp. enterica serovar Enteritidis
Lineage: Bacteria; Pseudomonadati; Pseudomonadota; Gammaproteobacteria; Enterobacterales; Enterobacteriaceae
Description: partial 23S ribosomal RNA
Rfam family: Bacterial large subunit ribosomal RNA
Source: RNAcentral
GCACUGUUUCGGCUAGGGGGCCAUCCCGGCUUACCAACCCGAUGCAAACUGCGAAUACCGGAGAAUGUUAUCACGGGAGACACACGGCGGGUGCUAACGUCCGUCGUGAAGAGGGAAACAACCCAGACCGCCAGCUAAGGUCCCAAAGUCAUGGUUAAGUGGGAAACGAUGUGGGAAGGCCCAGACAGCCAGGAUGUUGGCUUAGAAGCAGCCAUCAUUUAAAGAAAGCGUAAUAGCUCACUGGUCGAGUCGGCCUGCGCGGAAGAUGUAACGGGGCUAAACCAUGCACCGAAGC